RNAcentral lists this ribosomal RNA (793 nucleotides) under Streptomyces violascens. RNAcentral describes it as "bacterial SSU rRNA". It matches the Rfam family "Bacterial small subunit ribosomal RNA", at positions 68 to 873 of the family's 1533-position model. The record is from RNAcentral. Lineage: Bacteria; Bacillati; Actinomycetota; Actinomycetes; Kitasatosporales; Streptomycetaceae.
GAUGAACCGCUUUCGGGCGGGGAUUAGUGGCGAACGGGUGAGUAACACGUGGGCAAUCUGCCCUGCACUCUGGGACAAGCCCUGGAAACGGGGUCUAAUACCGGAUAUGACUGUCCAUCGCAUGGUGGAUGGUGUAAAGCUCCGGCGGUGCAGGAUGAGCCCGCGGCCUAUCAGCUUGUUGGUGAGGUAGUGGCUCACCAAGGCGACGACGGGUAGCCGGCCUGAGAGGGCGACCGGCCACACUGGGACUGAGACACGGCCCAGACUCCUACGGGAGGCAGCAGUGGGGAAUAUUGCACAAUGGGCGAAAGCCUGAUGCAGCGACGCCGCGUGAGGGAUGACGGCCUUCGGGUUGUAAACCUCUUUCAGCAGGGAAGAAGCGAAAGUGACGGUACCUGCAGAAGAAGCGCCGGCUAACUACGUGCCAGCAGCCGCGGUAAUACGUAGGGCGCAAGCGUUGUCCGGAAUUAUUGGGCGUAAAGAGCUCGUAGGCGGCUUGUCACGUCGGUUGUGAAAGCCCGGGGCUUAACCCCGGGUCUGCAGUCGAUACGGGCAGGCUAGAGUUCGGUAGGGGAGAUCGGAAUUCCUGGUGUAGCGGUGAAAUGCGCAGAUAUCAGGAGGAACACCGGUGGCGAAGGCGGAUCUCUGGGCCGAUACUGACGCUGAGGAGCGAAAGCGUGGGGGAGCGAACAGGAUUAGAUACCCUGGUAGUCCACGCCGUAAACGGUGGGCACUAGGUGUGGGCAACAUUCCACGUUGUCCGUGCCGCAGCUAACGCAUUAAGUGCCCCGCC